AACGCACCUUGCGCUCCUUGGUAUUCCUUGGAGCAUGCCUGUUUGAGUAUCAUGAAAUCUUCAAAGUCAAUUCUUUUGUUUGUUCAAUUGGGUUGACUUUGGUAUUGGAGGUCUUGCAGGUUCACACUUGCUCCUCUUUGUGCAUUAGCUGGAUCUCAGUGUUAUGCUUGGUUCCACUCGGCGUGAUAAAUUAUCUAUCGCUGAGGACACUUGUAAAAAGGUGGCCAAGGUAAAUGCAGAUGAACCGCUUCUAAUAGUCCAUUCACUUGGACAAUAUUUUUAUGAUCUGAUCUCAAAUCAGGUAGGACUACCCGCUGAACUUAA
This 324-nucleotide unclassified non-coding RNA is filed under the name uncultured Ceratobasidiaceae. RNAcentral describes it as "sequence contains ITS2". Lineage: Eukaryota; Fungi; Basidiomycota; Agaricomycetes; Cantharellales; Ceratobasidiaceae. The record is from RNAcentral.